UACGAAGGGGGCUAGCGUUGUUCGGAAUUACUGGGCGUAAAGGGCGCGUAGGCGGUGUGUCAAGUCAGGCGUGAAAGCCCCGGGCUCAACCUGGGAACAGCGCUUGAGACUGGCACGCUCGAGUUCGGGAGAGGAUGGUGGAAUUCCCAGUGUAGAGGUGAAAUUCGUAGAUAUCAGGAGGAACACCAGUGGCGAAGGCGGCUUCCUGGACACCAACUGACGCUGAGACGCGAAAGCGUGGGGAGCAAACAGG
This 253-nucleotide ribosomal RNA is filed under the name uncultured bacterium. RNAcentral describes it as "partial 16S ribosomal RNA". It matches the Rfam family "Bacterial small subunit ribosomal RNA", at positions 524 to 776 of the family's 1533-position model. The record is from RNAcentral.